Regulatory RNA element from Cavia porcellus (domestic guinea pig), 47 nucleotides. It matches the Rfam family "Histone 3' UTR stem-loop". From Rfam's summary of the family: The mRNAs of metazoan histone genes lack a poly-A tail. The record is from Rfam. NCBI's taxonomy places the organism in Eukaryota, Metazoa, Chordata, Mammalia, Rodentia, Caviidae.
CCAAAGGCUCUUUUAAGAGCCACUACAGUGUCAAAGGAAGGGCUGAU